CAGAGUACGGCGCCCCCGGGCGCCCGCUCCAACCCAAUGUCUACCUCGAAUCGUUGCCUCGGCGGGCCGGCGCACCACGCGCCGCCGGCUCACCCCGGAUAGUGCCCGCCAGAGGACAUGUAAAUACUGCUCACGGUGUCUUCCGAGUCAGAUUUUAAAUGUAUCA
RNAcentral lists this unclassified non-coding RNA (166 nucleotides) under uncultured Ascomycota. RNAcentral describes it as "sequence contains ITS1". The record is from RNAcentral. Lineage: Eukaryota; Fungi; Ascomycota.